UAGGUGUGGUAGCCUAUGCUCUCCUUUC
Molecule: small RNA, 28 nt
Filed under: Bombyx mori (domestic silkworm)
Lineage: Eukaryota; Metazoa; Arthropoda; Insecta; Lepidoptera; Bombycidae
Description: ovarian small RNA-22801
Source: RNAcentral